AAGAAGAUGACAAUGAUGAUGAGAAGGAGGACAAUGACUAUGACGACGAGGAGUAGAUGUUGCUGCUUUGAUGGAGUUCAUUUCCUUUUUAGCACUUGAUGCCAAAGGGGGAGUGAUUUGUUGAUGGAUUCAUGUAUCAAAACUUUAUCUUUAUGGUGUGUAAGACUAUGUGAGCAUGAGAACUUGUAAUGGGUGCACUUUAAAUGCUUAGAACUGCUUUUAUUUAUCUAAGGAUGAUUGUGUGUUUGUGAAAAAUUUCUGUGAUGAAUGAUUUUUGAGUUUGGCAGAAUGUACGGAGAAUUCCGGAAAUUUCUCCGGAAAAUUCCGGAGAUUGUUUCGGAAUCUCCGGACAUUCUGUCACUUUUCUCUUUGAUUAUUUGUUCAAU
This 386-nucleotide long non-coding RNA is filed under the name Setaria viridis. Its description in RNAcentral is "long non-coding RNA (SVIR_LNC003645)". Lineage: Eukaryota; Viridiplantae; Streptophyta; Magnoliopsida; Poales; Poaceae. The record is from RNAcentral.